GACGAACGCUGGCGGCGUGCCUAAUACAUGCAAGUCGAGCGGACUUGAAGGAGUGCUUGCACUCCUGAGAGUUAGCGGCGGACGGGUGAGUAACACGUAGGCAACCUGCCCUCAAGACUGGGAUAACUACCGGAAACGGUAGCUAAUACCGGAUAAUUUAUUACAUAGCAUUAUGUGAUAAUUAAAGACGGAGCAAUCUGUCACUUGGGGAUGGGCCUGCGGCGCAUUAGCUAGUUGGUGGGGUAACGGCCCACCAAGGCGACGAUGCGUAGCCGACCUGAGAGGGUGAACGGCCACACUGGGACUGAGACACGGCCCAGACUCCUACGGGAGGCAGCAGUAGGGAAUCUUGCGCAAUGGGCGAAGGCCUGACGGAGCAACGCCGCGUGAGUGAUGAAGGUUUUCGGAUCGUAAAGCUCUUUUGACAAGGAAGAACGUCUCAUAGAGUAAAUGCUAUGAGAGUGACGGUACUUGAGAAGAAAGCCCCGGCUAACUACGUG
RNAcentral lists this ribosomal RNA (500 nucleotides) under uncultured bacterium. RNAcentral describes it as "partial 16S ribosomal RNA". It matches the Rfam family "Bacterial small subunit ribosomal RNA", at positions 28 to 507 of the family's 1533-position model. The record is from RNAcentral.